AAUGGUCGUAAACAGAGGGAAGCGAAACCGCGAGGUAGAGCAAAUCCCCAAAAACGGUCUCAGUUCGGAUUGCAGGCUGCAACUCGCCUGUAUGAAGUCGGAAUUGCUAGUAAUCGCGGAUCAGCAUGCCGCGGUGAAUACGUUCCCGGGCCUUGUACACACCGCCCGUCACACCAUGAGAGCCGGGAACACCCGAAGUCCGUAGUCUAACCGCAAGGAGGACGCGGCCGAAGGUGGGUUUGGUAAUUGGGGUGAAGUCGUAACAAGGUACC
RNAcentral lists this ribosomal RNA (272 nucleotides) under uncultured bacterium. Its description in RNAcentral is "partial 16S ribosomal RNA". It matches the Rfam family "Bacterial small subunit ribosomal RNA", at positions 1229 to 1500 of the family's 1533-position model. The record is from RNAcentral.